CAUGACGCCGCGCGCAGGACGUAACCCCGGCGUGACGCACACCCCGGCGAGCCCGUGAGUUUCCCGUUAUGCCUUUUUUUUUUUUUUUUCUCUAAAACCGCCCCCCCCCCCGCCCCCCCCCCUCCCCCGCCGGCGGCCGAGAAGGGAGGGGAGGGGGCGCGCGCCCCUUCGCUCCGCGCGGCGCCGCGUGGGGCGGGGGCGGCGCGGGCCGGGCCGGGGCGGGCGCGGCGCGGGCAGCCGUCCGUCCGCCCGCCCUAGCGGCGGUUGGCGGGGAGGGCGGCUCUGCCUCCAUCCUGCCGCAUCGGGGAACAUGGCGGCCGCCUCCGACCUGGUGCGGCACCGCCACUCGGCCGCAGCCGCCCGCGCCGCGGUUUGUUUUAAUGUGGAAGUGGAUCUCUCAGCUUAAUGCAAAUCAAACAAACAAAGGAAAAAAGGAUGUCAAGCGUGGUCUUCCUUGAUUUUGAUGAAGGACCGUUGCAGGAAGCCAUGGAUAUUUGUUGUGAGUUAUAACAUCUUAAUUCCAAGAGUCUAGGUAAUGACUCAUUUUAACUGAGCUCUACUCAAAAUGUUAAUUAGUAACUGAAACUACGUGUGUGAUGGCAGGAAUCAAAUUCCCCCAAAGAUCAAAGUGAAUAGUACUCUUUAAAGGUAAAAAAUGUGGUUUCUGUAAAAUAUAGAUAGAUGUUUCUGGCUCCUAGAUGGAUGUUUUAGUGCCUUAUGCUUCCUGUGUUCUGAGGACACGGUAUAAGCAUUUACCCCUGUAUGUAAGAGGUAGGUGCCUGGGUAGACUUAAGUUCGCACACCAGUUUCUUACUGAUUUUUUUAUGUGUAGGCAACUCCUUUGUGCUCACUACACAUUGGGUAGAUGAUUUGGUGUAUAAAUGGAAGGCACUUGUGGAAAGACAUUUUUAUGUACACAAGGCCACCCAGAGGGAAUUAAUAUGUAGUAGUUAUCUGUACUAGUAAAUACUAUUAUUGUCAUGCUCUGGAUUCAGCGUGGUGAUUUUCUCUGGUAGGUAAAUCCUAAUUAAAUGUUUCUAAUUGUGGGAGGUUUUCCACCUUUGAGAACAUGCUAGUUUAUUUGCUUAUCAUUUAAAAUGGCCUGUAUAACAUAAGCAGAAUCUGAUUUAUUUAAUUUAAAACAAGUAGAGCUCUUUUGUAAGAAGGGAAUGGGAAGACAUUUAAUUUCUUUAGUGAGUUUGAUCCUUUGCUAUGUCUCCAUUAGUAAUCAGAUGUUCAAAAUCAGCUUAGUUGUGUUUUCUCCUUUAAAACCACAGUAAAUAUUUCUGCAGGCUUCUGUGUAGCAUCAGGUCAGUUGUAUACAAGCACUUUGGAAAAAGUGGUACCUUGAGAUAUGUAAGGAUUAUUUUCGUUCCCUAGGGGCUAAAGGGAAGUACGUUUGUUUUGUUGGAUUUUUUUAAACAUCACUAAAAUGAAUAGCAGAUGUCUGGAUAGCUUUUAUUCCUAACUUGUUUUAUUUCGAGAAAACAACUAAAGAUAAACUCUGUGUUUAUGUUAAUGCACACGUAGAAUGUAUUUGCACAGUUUUUGGCAAUCUCCUUUCCCCCAUCUUACUUGCAUAUAGGUGUUCAGGUUUUUUUGAACUGGAAUACUGGGCAGUGACUAGUUUGCUGUAUGGUUAUUAAUAUAGCAUAGCAAAAAAGUAUAUAUUUUUUAAUUGCUUCAUUGGUUAAUUUUAAACAUGUCUUGAAUAUCCUAAAUAAAAAAAUACAUUUUUAAAAAUUUCA
This is a long non-coding RNA of Calidris pygmaea (Spoon-billed sandpiper), 1748 nucleotides long. The record is from Ensembl. NCBI's taxonomy places the organism in Eukaryota, Metazoa, Chordata, Aves, Charadriiformes, Scolopacidae.